RNAcentral lists this long non-coding RNA (218 nucleotides) under Homo sapiens (human). Its description in RNAcentral is "HSALNT0345626". The record is from RNAcentral. Lineage: Eukaryota; Metazoa; Chordata; Mammalia; Primates; Hominidae.
GCUGGGCGUGGUGGCGCACGCCUGUAGUCCCAGCUACUCAGGAGGCUGAGGCAGGAGAAUUGCUUGAACCUGGGAGGUGGAAGUUGCAGUGAGCCGAGAUCGCACCACUGCACUCUAGCCUGGGCAACAGAGCAAGACUCCAUCUCAACAACAACAACAACAAAAAAAAAAAAAAAAAAAAAAAAAAAAAAAAAAAAACAAAAAAAAAGGGGGGGGGG